GAGUUUGAUCUUGGCUCAGGAUGAACGCUAGCGGCAGGCUUAACACAUGCAAGUCGAGGGGUAUAGGUUUUCGGACCUAGAGACCGGCGCACGGGUGCGUAACGCGUAUGCAAUCUACCUUUUACAGAGGGAUAGCCCAGAGAAAUUUGGAUUAAUACCUCAUAGUAUUAUGAUAAGGCAUCUUAUUAUAAUUAAAGUUCCAACGGUAAAGAUGAGCAUGCGUCCCAUUAGCUAGAUGGUAAGGUAACGGCUUACCAUGGCGACGAUGGGUAGGGGUCCUGAGAGGGAGAUCCCCCACACUGGUACUGAGACACGGACCAGACUCCUACGGGAGCAGCAGUGAGGAAUAUUGGUCAAUGGGCGCAAGCCUGAACCAGCCAUGCCGCGUGCAGGAUGACGGUCCUAUGGAUUGUAAACUGCUUUUGUACAGGAAGAAACAGUUCUACGUGUAGAACCUUGACGGUACUGUAAGAAUAAGGACCGGCUAACUCCGUGCCAGCCGCCGCAGUAAC
Molecule: ribosomal RNA, 512 nt
Filed under: uncultured Flavobacterium sp.
Lineage: Bacteria; Pseudomonadati; Bacteroidota; Flavobacteriia; Flavobacteriales; Flavobacteriaceae
Description: bacterial SSU rRNA
Rfam family: Bacterial small subunit ribosomal RNA
Source: RNAcentral